This 63-nucleotide transfer RNA is filed under the name Propalticus sp. PRO01. RNAcentral's name for it is "tRNA-Glu". The record is from RNAcentral. Lineage: Eukaryota; Metazoa; Arthropoda; Insecta; Coleoptera; Propalticidae.
AUUUAUAUAGUUUAAUAAAAACCUUACAUUUUCACUGUAAAAUUGAAUAUCUUUCUAUAAAUU